This 325-nucleotide long non-coding RNA is filed under the name Zonotrichia albicollis (white-throated sparrow). Its description in RNAcentral is "lncRNA (ENSZALG00000005824.1)". Lineage: Eukaryota; Metazoa; Chordata; Aves; Passeriformes; Passerellidae. The record is from RNAcentral.
CUCAGACCAAUUGUAGCUCUGAGUCAGGCAAGAUUUCCUCUGUUUCUCUUCACAGCGAGUAGAGAGGAAGAUUUUGCCUGCAAUUAGAUCCAAGGAGCUGGAUUCCUGUUAAGAGUUUGCUCAUCAUCAGGAGAGAAAUCUGAGAAGUGCAAAGGUCCUUGACACCAAAAACAGGUGCUGAGCACACUCCAGGAUCAGGACACUCCUGCCCACCCUGUGUUUACUCAGCAGAUGGGAUCAGGCACUACUCAUGCAGGCAGUUCCUAAAUCAAUGGAACAGAGGAUUAACAGCAUAUGGAGCAUGCCCCAUCCUCAGGCCUGGCAU